AUUCAUGUUUGGCUGAAGUUUUAAAAAAAGAAAACAAAAAUGAAGCCACAGCACCCAAGGGCUCUCAAACUUUAAUGUUUGAACAAACAAAUAACCUGGGGAUCUGUUAAAUUUCAGAUUCUGAUUCAGGAGGUCUGGGGUCCCCAGGAAGUCUUCCCUUCUAACAAGUUCCUGGGGAUGCUCAACACUGCCAACACACCCAACCUGAAGACCUGGGUUAUAGAUUGAAUGAUUAUGGACUUGAAUGAGCAUCAUGGCUCUCCAGGGCAGAUGGGACCUUAAAUAAGAAGUUAUCUCACUUCUAAGAGCUUCAGUUUUCUUAUCUGUAAAAUGGGGGCUGGGGGUUUGGUUUGUGGUGCAGUCUGUGUUCAGCACAUACUGGGUUCAAUUCCCAGCACCCAAAGGAGGGGAAAAAAAAGGCAAGCAAUAAUAAUGACCUGUCAUUGUGAUGCUUAAAUGAGAUAAUGCAUUACUGUUUAGCACAGUGUAACAAAUACUAGCUUUUUGCUAGGAUAGCCAAGACUCACAGAAUACUCAUCUGCCA
Molecule: long non-coding RNA, 544 nt
Filed under: Marmota monax (woodchuck)
Lineage: Eukaryota; Metazoa; Chordata; Mammalia; Rodentia; Sciuridae
Source: RNAcentral